CAAAUAUCAGAUGAUGAACUGAUAUUGUACAUCCUUGGAGGACUUGGUCAUGACUAUGAUUCUGUUGUAGUUAAUCUAACUUCACGACAUG
This 91-nucleotide small RNA is filed under the name Salix viminalis (osier). The record is from RNAcentral. Lineage: Eukaryota; Viridiplantae; Streptophyta; Magnoliopsida; Malpighiales; Salicaceae.